AAUAGAUACCCAGGUAGUCCACGCUGUAAACGUUGGACACUAGGUGUGGCGGUCUGAUCAACGACUGCCGUGCCGAAGCUAACGCAUUAAGUGUCCCGCCUGGGGAGUACGGCCGCAAGGCUAAAACUCAAAGGAAUUGACGGGUCCCCGCACAAGCGGCGGAGCAUGCGGCUUAAUUCGAUGCAACCCGAAGAACCUUACCUGGGUUUGACAUCAUGGGAAAAGCCGUGGAAACACGGUGUCCGUAAGGGCCCAUGACAGGUGGUGCAUGGCUGUCGUCAGCUCGUGUCGUGAGAUGUUGGGUUAAGUCCCGCAACGAGCGCAACCCUUGUCCUAUGUUGCCAGCGGUUCGGCCGGGGACUCAUAGGAGACUGCCGGGGAUAACUCGGAGGAAGGUGAGGACGAUGUCAAGUCAUCAUGCCCCUUAUAUCCAGGGCUGCACGCAUGCUACAAUGGUCGGUACAACGGGCAGCGAUCCUGCGAAGGUGAGCGAAUCCCACAAAGCCGGCUCAGUUCGGAUUGG
This 523-nucleotide ribosomal RNA is filed under the name uncultured bacterium. Its description in RNAcentral is "bacterial SSU rRNA". It matches the Rfam family "Bacterial small subunit ribosomal RNA", at positions 777 to 1301 of the family's 1533-position model. The record is from RNAcentral.